This 75-nucleotide transfer RNA is filed under the name Marmota monax (woodchuck). Its description in RNAcentral is "tRNA.Ala". The record is from RNAcentral. Lineage: Eukaryota; Metazoa; Chordata; Mammalia; Rodentia; Sciuridae.
CUGAGGUUAUAGCUCAGUGGUAGAGUGCUCGCCUCGCAUGUGGAAGGCGCUGGGUUCGAUCCUCAGCACCACAUA